GUUAAAGGUACCCGUACCGCAAACCGACACAGGUGGGUGAGGAGAGUAUCCUAAGGCCAGCGAGAGAACUGUUGUUAAGGAACUCGGCAAAAUGACCCCGUAACUUAGGGAUAAGGGGUGCCACCAUUAGGUGGCCGCAGAGAAUAGGCCCAAGCGACUGUUUACCAAAAACAUAGGUUUCUGCUAAGUCGCAAGACGAUGUAUAGGAGCUGACGCCUGCCC
This 222-nucleotide ribosomal RNA is filed under the name Clostridioides difficile. Its description in RNAcentral is "partial 23S ribosomal RNA". It matches the Rfam family "Bacterial large subunit ribosomal RNA", at positions 1631 to 1864 of the family's 2925-position model. The record is from RNAcentral. Lineage: Bacteria; Bacillati; Bacillota; Clostridia; Peptostreptococcales; Peptostreptococcaceae.